GAAAUGCGAUAAGUAAUGUGAAUUGCAGAAUUCAGUGAAUCAUCGAAUCUUUGAACGCACCUUGCGCUCCUUGGUAUUCCUUGGAGCAUGCCUGUUUGAGUAUCAUGAAAUCUUCAAAGUAAAUCUUUUGUUAACUCAAUUGGUUUCUACUUUGGUAUUGGAGGUCUUUGCAGCUUCACACCUGCUCCUCUUUGUUCAUUAGCUGGAUCUCAGUGUUAUGCUUGGUUCCACUCGGCGUGAUAAGUUAUCUAUCGCUGAGGACACUGUAAAAGGUGGCAAAGGUAAAUGCAGAUGAACCGCUUCUAAUAGUCCAUUGACUUGGACAAUAAUUUUAUGAUCUGAUCUCAAAUCAGGUAGGACUACCCGCUGAACUUAAGC
Molecule: unclassified non-coding RNA, 378 nt
Filed under: plant metagenome
Description: partial contains 5.8S ribosomal RNA, internal transcribed spacer 2, and large subunit ribosomal RNA
Rfam family: 5.8S ribosomal RNA (bases 1-105)
Source: RNAcentral